Molecule: unclassified non-coding RNA, 271 nt
Filed under: Basidiomycota sp.
Lineage: Eukaryota; Fungi; Basidiomycota
Description: partial contains small subunit ribosomal RNA, internal transcribed spacer 1, and 5.8S ribosomal RNA
Rfam family: Eukaryotic small subunit ribosomal RNA (bases 1-47)
Source: RNAcentral
AAAGUCGUAACAAGGUUUCCGUAGGUGAACCUGCGGAAGGAUCAUUAACGAGUUCGAACGAGGUUGUCGCUGGCCUUCCGGGGCAUGUGCACACCUCUUUCUCGUCCAUCUCACACCUGUGCACCUUCGGUAGUUCUAGAGAAGGGGAAAGUCGCCGCAAGGCGAUGACCCUGACUUUGGUCCUACGUCUUCACACACUCUAUAAAGUUUUGAAUGUAUACCGCGUCUAACGCAUCUAAUACAACUUUCAACAACGGAUCUCUUGGCUCUC